Molecule: ribosomal RNA, 301 nt
Filed under: uncultured bacterium
Lineage: Bacteria
Description: partial 16S ribosomal RNA
Rfam family: Bacterial small subunit ribosomal RNA
Source: RNAcentral
CAGUCGCCACGGGAAUACGAAGGGGGCUAGCGUUGCUCGGAAUGACUGGGCGUAAAGGGCGCGUAGGCGGCGAUCAAAGUCAGGCGUGAAAUUCCUGGGCUCAACCUGGGGGCUGCGCUUGAUACUUGGUUGCUUGAGUGGGGAAGAGGGUCGUGGAAUUCCCAGUGUAGAGGUGAAAUUCGUAGAUAUUGGGAAGAACACCGGUGGCGAAGGCGGCGACCUGGUCCUUGACUGACGCUGAGGCGCGAAAGCGUGGGGAGCAAACAGGAUUAGAUACCCUGUAGUCCCUGUCUCUUAUACC